UUUCCGUUGGUGAACCAGCGGAGGGAUCAUUAAAGAGUUGAAAAACUCCCAAACCGUUUUGAACAUACCGUCAACGUUGCUUCGGCGGGUUGGACCCGGUCUCCUGUAUCCCCGGCCCUCACAGGCGUCCGCCGGAGGUACCUAACUCUUGAACUUUUUUCGCCACUCUGACUCUUUUUACAUAUUAAGUCAAAACUUUCAGCAACGGAUCUCUUGGUUCUG
RNAcentral lists this unclassified non-coding RNA (222 nucleotides) under plant metagenome. Its description in RNAcentral is "partial contains small subunit ribosomal RNA, internal transcribed spacer 1, and 5.8S ribosomal RNA". The record is from RNAcentral.